GACGAACGCUGGCGGCGUGCUUAACACAUGCAAGUCGUGCGGAAAGGCCCCUUUGGGGGUGCUCGAGCGGCGAACGGGUGAGUAACACGUGAGUAAUCUGCCCUGCACUUUGGGAUAACUGCCGGAAACGGUGGCUAAUACUGGAUAGGACUGCAUCCUGCAUGGGGUGUGGUGGAAAGCCUUUGGGUGGUGUGGGAUGUGCUCGCGGCCUAUCAGCUUGAUGGUGGGGUAGUGGCCUACCAUGGCUUUGACGGGUAGCCGGCCUGAGAGGUGACCGGUCACACUGGGACUGAGACACGGCCCAGACUCCUGCGGGAGGCAGCAGUGGGGAAUAUUGGACAAUGGGCGGAAGCCUGAUCCAGCAACGCCGCGUGAGGGAUGACGG
Molecule: ribosomal RNA, 385 nt
Filed under: uncultured bacterium
Lineage: Bacteria
Description: bacterial SSU rRNA
Rfam family: Bacterial small subunit ribosomal RNA
Source: RNAcentral